RNAcentral lists this ribosomal RNA (630 nucleotides) under Rhizopus arrhizus. RNAcentral's name for it is "Rhizopus oryzae partial large subunit ribosomal RNA". It matches the Rfam family "Eukaryotic large subunit ribosomal RNA", at positions 74 to 634 of the family's 3401-position model. Lineage: Eukaryota; Fungi; Mucoromycota; Mucoromycetes; Mucorales; Rhizopodaceae. The record is from RNAcentral.
AUUUCCCUAGUAACGGCGAGUGAAGAGGAAAGAGCUCAAAGUUGGAACCUGUUUGGCCUAGCUAAACCGGAUUGUAGACUGUAGAAGUGUUUUCCAGGCAAGCCGAGUAAAUAAGUCCUUUGGAACAGGGCAUCAUAGAGGGUGAGAAUCCCGUCUUUGGCUUGAGCAUUUGCCUUUUGUGAUACGCUUUCAAAGAGUCAGGUUGUUUGGGAAUGCAGCCUAAAUUGGGUGGUAAAUCUCACCUAAAGCUAAAUAUUGGCGAGAAACCGAUAGCGAACAAGUACCGUGAGGGAAAGAUGAAAAGAACUUUGAAAAGAGAGUUAAACAGUAUGUGAAAUUGUUAAAAGGGAACCGUUUGGAGCCAGACUGGCUUGUCUGUAAUCAAUCUAGGCUUCGGCCUGGAUGCACUUGCAGGCUAUGCCUGCCAACGACAAUUUGACUUGAGGGAAAAAACUAGGGGAAAUGUGGCCCACUUGUGGGUGUUAUAGUCCCUUAGAAAAUACCUUGGGUUGGAUUGAGGAACGCAGCGAAUGCUUAUUGGCGAGUUUUCCAGGAAGGUUUUCUGAGGUACUACGGUAUCAAGGUUGAUCUUUUUGGUUAUACUUCUAUUCGCUUAGGUUGUUGGCUUAA